AAAUUGAAGAGUUUGAUCAUGGCUCAGAUUGAACGCUGGCGGCAGGCCUAACACAUGCAAGUCGAACGGUAACAGGAAGCAGCUUGCUGCUUGGCUGACGAGUGGCGGACGGGUGAGUAAUGUCUGGGAAACUGCCCGAUGGAGGGGGAUAACUACUGGAAACGGUAGCUAAUACCGCAUAAUGUCGCAAGACCAAAGUGGGGGACCUUCGGGCCUCACACCAUCGGAUGUGCCCAGAUGGGAUUAGCUUGUUGGUGGGGUAACGGCUCACCAAGGCGACGAUCCCUAGCUGGUCUGAGAGGAUGACCAGCCACACUGGAACUGAGACACGGUCCAGACUCCUACGGGAGGCAGCAGUGGGGAAUAUUGCACAAUGGGCGCAAGCCUGAUGCAGCCAUGCCGCGUGUAUGAAGAAGGCCUUCGGGUUGUAAAGUACUUUCAGCGGGGAGGAAGGUGUUGUGGUUAAUAACCACAGCAAUUGACGUUACCCGCAGAAGAAGCACCGGCUAACUCCGUGCCAGCAGCCGCGGUAAUACGGAGGGUGCAAGCGUUAAUCGGAAUUACUGGGCGUAAAGCGCACGCAGGCGGUCUGUCAAGUCGGAUGUGAAAUCCCCGGGCUCAACCUGGGAACUGCAUUCGAAACUGGCAGGCUUGAGUCUUGUAGAGGGGGGUAGAAUUCCAGGUGUAGCGGUGAAAUGCGUAGAGAUCUGGAGGAAUACCGGUGGCGAAGGCGGCCCCCUGGACAAAGACUGACGCUCAGGUGCGAAAGCGUGGGGAGCAAACAGGAUUAGAUACCCUGGUAGUCCACGCCGUAAACGAUGUCUACUUGGAGGUUGUGCCCUUGAGGCGUGGCUUCCGGAGCUAACGCGUUAAGUAGACCGCCUGGGGAGUACGGCCGCAAGGUUAAAACUCAAAUGAAUUGACGGGGGCCCGCACAAGCGGUGGAGCAUGUGGUUUAAUUCGAUGCAACGCGAAGAACCUUACCUGGUCUUGACAUCCAC
RNAcentral lists this ribosomal RNA (1001 nucleotides) under Salmonella enterica subsp. enterica serovar Alachua. RNAcentral's name for it is "bacterial SSU rRNA". It matches the Rfam family "Bacterial small subunit ribosomal RNA", at positions 1 to 991 of the family's 1533-position model. Lineage: Bacteria; Pseudomonadati; Pseudomonadota; Gammaproteobacteria; Enterobacterales; Enterobacteriaceae. The record is from RNAcentral.